Molecule: transfer RNA, 74 nt
Filed under: Mycobacteroides abscessus subsp. abscessus
Lineage: Bacteria; Bacillati; Actinomycetota; Actinomycetes; Mycobacteriales; Mycobacteriaceae
Also listed under: 1 other name
Description: tRNA-Ala(tgc)
Rfam family: tRNA
About the family: Transfer RNA (tRNA) molecules are approximately 80 nucleotides in length. Their secondary structure includes four short double-helical elements and three loops (D, anti-codon, and T loops). Further hydrogen bonds mediate the characteristic L-shaped molecular structure. tRNAs have two regions of fundamental functional importance: the anti-codon, which is responsible for specific mRNA codon recognition, and the 3' end, to which the tRNAs corresponding amino acid is attached (by aminoacyl-tRNA synthetases). tRNAs cope with the degeneracy of the genetic code in two manners: having more than one tRNA (with a specific anti-codon) for a particular amino acid; and 'wobble' base-pairing, i.e. permitting non-standard base-pairing at the 3rd anti-codon position.
Source: RNAcentral
GGGGCCUUAGCUCACUUGGUAGAGCGUCUGAUUUGCACUCAGAAGGCAGGGAGUUCGAUCCUCCCAGGCUCCAC